Molecule: ribosomal RNA, 500 nt
Filed under: uncultured bacterium
Lineage: Bacteria
Description: partial 16S ribosomal RNA
Rfam family: Bacterial small subunit ribosomal RNA
Source: RNAcentral
AUUGAACGCUGGCGGAAUGCUUUACAUAUGCAAGUCGAACGGCAGCACGGACUUCGGUCUGGUGGCGAGUGGCGAACGGGUGAGUAAUGUAUCGGAACGUGCCCAGUCGUGGGGGAUAACGUAGUGAAAAUUACGCUAAUACCGCAUACGAUCUAUGGAUGAAAGCGGGGGAUCGCAAGACCUCGCGCGAUUGGAGCGGCCGAUAUCAGAUUAGGCACUUGGUGGGGUAAAGGCCCACCAAGCCAACGAUCUGUAGCUGGUCUGAGAGGACGCCCAGCCACACUGGAACUGAGACACGGUCCAGACUCCUACGGGAGGCAGCAGUGGGGAAUUGUGGACAAGUGGCGAAAGCCUGAUCCAGCCAUUCCGCGUGCAGGAUGAAGGCCCUCGGGUUGUAAACUGCUUUUGUACAGAACGAAAAGGUUUCUACUAAUACUAGGAGCUCAUGACGGUACUGUAAGAAUAAGCACCGGCUAACUACGUGCCAGCCGCCGCAGUAA